This 275-nucleotide ribosomal RNA is filed under the name uncultured prokaryote. Its description in RNAcentral is "partial 16S ribosomal RNA". It matches the Rfam family "Bacterial small subunit ribosomal RNA", at positions 524 to 800 of the family's 1533-position model. The record is from RNAcentral.
UACGUAGGGGGCUAGCGUUAUCCGGAAUUACUGGGCGUAAAGGGUGCGUAGGUGGUUUCUUAAGUCAGAGGUGAAAGGCUACGGCUCAACCGUAGUAAGCCUUUGAAACUGGUGAACUUGAGUGCAGGAGAGGAGAGUGGAAUUCCUAGUGUAGCGGUGAAAUGCGUAGAUAUUAGGAGGAACACCAGUUGCGAGGCGGCUCUCUGGACUGUAACUGACACUGAGGCACGAAAGCGGUGGGAGCAAACAGGAUUAGAUACCCGUGUAGUCCCUGA